GACGUAACGAGUUCUCGUUGAUGAUCGGUGCUUGCACCGAGAUUCAACAUGGAACGAGUGGCGGACGGGUGAGUAACACGUGGGUAACCUGCCCUUAAGUGGGGGAUAACAUUUGGAAACAGAUGCUAAUACCGCAUAGAUCCAAGAACCGCAUGGUUCUUGGCUGAAAGAUGGCGUAAGCUAUCGCUUUUGGAUGGACCCGCGGCGUAUUAGCUAGUUGGUGAGGUAAUGGCUCACCAAGGCGAUGAUACGUAGCCGAACUGAGAGGUUGAUCGGCCACAUUGGGACUGAGACACGGCCCAAACUCCUACGGGAGGCAGCAGUAGGGAAUCUUCCACAAUGGACGCAAGUCUGAUGGAGCAACGCCGCGUGAGUGAAGAAGGCUUUCGGGUCGUAAAACUCUGUUGUUGGAGAAGAAUGGUCGGCAGAGUAACUGUUGUCGGCGUGACGGUAUCCAACCAGAAAGCCACGGCUAACUACGUGCCAGCAGCCGCGGUAAUACGUAGGUGGCAAGCGUUAUCCGGAUUUAUUGGGCGUAAAGCGAGCGCAGGCGGUUUUUUAAGUCUGAUGUGAAAGCCCUCGGCUUAACCGAGGAAGCGCAUCGGAAACUGGGAGACUUGAGUGCAGAAGAGGACAGUGGAACUCCAUGUGUAGCGGUGAAAUGCGUAGAUAUAUGGAAGAACACCAGUGGCGAAGGCGGCUGUCUGGUCUGUAACUGACGCUGAGGCUCGAAAGCAUGGGUAGCGAACAGGAUUAGAUACCCUGGUAGUCCAUGCCGUAAACGAUGAAUGCUAGGUGUUGGAGGGUUUCCGCCCUUCAGUGCCGCAGCUAACGCAUUAAGCAUUCCGCCUGGGGAGUACGACCGCAAGGUUGAAACUCAAAGGAAUUGACGGGCGCCCGCACAAGCGGUGGAGCAUGUGGUUUAAUUCGAAGCAACGCGAAGAACCUUACCAGGUCUUGACAUCUUUUGAUCACCUGAGAAAUCAGU
Molecule: ribosomal RNA, 988 nt
Filed under: Lacticaseibacillus paracasei
Lineage: Bacteria; Bacillati; Bacillota; Bacilli; Lactobacillales; Lactobacillaceae
Description: bacterial SSU rRNA
Rfam family: Bacterial small subunit ribosomal RNA
Source: RNAcentral